RNAcentral lists this long non-coding RNA (3200 nucleotides) under Mus musculus (house mouse). RNAcentral's name for it is "long non-coding RNA chr4:116884229-116887429". The record is from RNAcentral. Lineage: Eukaryota; Metazoa; Chordata; Mammalia; Rodentia; Muridae.
CUGGCCUUCAAGGUAUCACUUCUGUUCCUCUCCCCUAUUUUCUUUCUUAGCCUGUUUAUCAUUUGUAUAAAGGAAGGCUACUGAUUUGUUUGAGUUAAUUUUAUAUCUGGCCACUUUGCUGAAGUUGUUUAUCAGCUGGAAAAAUUCCCUGGUAGAAUUUUUGGGGUUGCUUAUGUAUACUAUCAUAUCAUCUGCAAAUACUGAUACCUCAACUUCUUCUUUGCUAAUUUGUAUCCCCUCAAUCUCCUUUUGUCUUAAUGCUCUAGCUAGAACUUUGAGUACUAUAUUAAAUAGAUAUGGGGAGAGUGGGCAUCCUCGUCUUGUUCCUGAUUUUAGUGGGAUUAUUUCAAGUAUGUCUCCAUUUAAUUUGAUAUUGGCUGUUGGUUUGCUGUAUAUUGCUUUUAUUGUGUUUAGGUAUGGGCAGUGAAUUCCUGAUCUCUACAGUACUUUUAGCAUGAAGGGUUGCUGAUCUAGGAGAAUAGCUUGAGUCCAGGAGUUCCAGAUAGCAUAAGGUAAAAUAACAAGACUUCUUCCCCCAAAGUACCAACCAACCAACCAGGCAAGCAAGCAAGCAAACUAACAAAGAGCAACACACUCACAUCCAGAAAAACAAAAACCAACAGCAAAAAUCCUGAAGGGAGAAGGGAGAUAAGCCUGAAUUUUUAGUGUGAGCAUGUUAUAGGAAGUGACAGGGGAAACUCCAAACCUGCCUAUAUAAGCCUCACAGCAUCAUAGGUGUCCUGUGAAAUGGUGAUUUACCAUUUCCCAAAUAUAAGAAAUAUAUAUGAACCGUAUAAAGAUGACCACCCUGAGACCAGAGUUUUAGAUUUCAAAGAUAAUGGGCAGGCUAAAGAGCAGAUUUCAUUUUAGACUAAUGUCUUCGUACAGGUGCUGUGGCUGAGUGCUGGAGGGUUUGCCUAGAGUGCAGGCCAGUCCCCAGCAGCACAGUUUUUAAAUGUGUUUUACUGCACACAUAUGCUUCACAAUACAGUUUUACACAGAAGCUGGAAGCACUUUCCUUCGUAUUUUGCAGAAAGGCUAGAAACAUGAGGACUUUCUUUAAUAUAUCAAAGUACAGCCACAAUUUUUAAGAUAAAUAUUACUGAAAUGUCAGUUUAAAGCUAGUUUAAAUUUCAAAGAGAGAAAGACUGGAAAUUGAUUUAUGCAUAUGUGACCCAAGGCACUUCUCCUACAUCAACAGUGGCUGGGAAGCUUGAUGUGGUGACGCACACCUGUAACUGAGUGCUCUAGAGUAGUGGUUCUCAACCUGGGGAUAGAAACCCAUUAGGUAGCCGGUGGGGGCUUCAAAUGACCCUUUCACAGGGGUCACCUAAGACCACUGGAAAUCACAGAUAGUUACAGUGUGAGUCAUAACAGUAGCAAAAUUACAGCUACUAAAUAACAAAAAUAACUCUGUGUUUGGGGGUCACCACAGCAUGAAGAACUGUGUUAAAGGUCACAGUGAUAGGAAGGGUGAUCAGGAGUUCAGAGUGUCCAGAUGUUGAGUUUGAGGCUAGCCUGAGCUACAUGAGAAACUAUCUCAAAACAAAACAAUAAAACUGCCCCCACCCCACCCCCCAAAAAAAGAAAGAAGAAAAAAAAAUUCCACAUGGCUAUGAAAAAUCAAGGCAUUUACUGAUGGUAUUCUGUUUUGGUUAGUUUUAAGAAUAUGGGACUGUACACUUAAAGAUCAAUACUUUGUACCAAAAAGAGAAAAAUUUAGGGUUUGGGUAUAGCUCAGCCCAUAGGCGGCUUGCCUGCCAUAUGUAAGCCCCAGCAUUUCCCAGGAGACAAUAAUUCAUUUUGUUGUGCUUUUUGUUUUAGAGUUUGGUUUUUUUUUUUUUUUUUUUUUGUUGUUGUUGUUUUUUGUCUUGUUUUUUUUUGAGACAGGGUUUCUCUGUGUAGUCCUGGCUGUCCUGGAACUCACUCUGUAGACCAGACUGGCCUCGAACUCAGAAAUCCGCCUGCCUCUGCCUCCCGAGUGCUGGGAUUAAAGGCGUGCGCCACCACGCCCGGCUCUGAUUUUAUUUUCUUUUUUUGUCAACUCAACACAAGCCAGCCACCUCAGUUGAGAACAUGCCUCCAGCAGACUGGCCUGUAGGGAUGCCUGUGGGACAUUUUUUGAUCAAUGAUGAUUGAUAUGGGAAGGCCCAGCACACCAUGGGUGGUACCACCCCAUGGCAGGUUGUCCUGGGUUAUGUGAGAAAGCAGACCGAGUAAGCCAUGGGAUACAGGACAGAAAGCAGUGUUCCAUGGUCUCUGCUUCAGUUCCUGCCUCAAGUUCCUGCUCUGAGUUCCUUUCAUGAUAUCUACAGCUGUUAGCUGAAAUAAACCCUUUCAUUCCUAAGUUGCUUUUAGUCACGUCCUUUUUAUCACAGCAAUAGAAACCCUAAGAUAGUACUUAUGAUCAUAUGCAAAAUUAUUCUGAUACUUUUCAUAAUGAUAUGUAUCCACUGAUUUUAGUUUUCAAUAUAACUUUCUAUCCCUUAGAGAGGUUAAUGUAAUUUACUCUAAAUGGUUUUUAGUACAUAUUUUUCAAUCUAUGCAUUUAUUCUGAUGUGAUUAUCUCAUUUUGUAGCCCAUGCUGGCUUGGAGUUCAUUGCAAACCUCCUGCUUCAACCUCUUGAGAUCUUAAGAUUAUAGGUGUGAGCCACUAUACCUGGUUAACAAAUUUUUAUUGAAUGAAAGAAUGGUCACAUGCUGUUUAUAUGUUUUGUAGUACGGCUAGAUCUCUUAAUUAACUUAUAUGUGACUGGAGCCUGGAAGAUAUGCUGACAUUUUGACGUAACCUUUGGAUAUUUCUUGUUUUCAAAAUCUUAUGUAUAUUUUUAAAAGUGGUAGAGCCUAUUAUUAACUAGUUCUUCCUUAUUUACUGAGUUAACAUGCAGUUACUUGUUUUGGAUAAGGAUGGUAGAUAAUUGCUUACCAGCUUUUGAUAGAGUUGUUUCUAAUACACUUUGUAUUCUUCAUUUUGAGUUCAAUCCAAGGUUGGAUACCAAAGCCUAAGAUUCUAAGAAUACAUUAUGUUACCAUUUUUAUGUAGGCAAUAGGUACCAGAUAAAUCAACAACAAAAUAUAGAGGUAUCUAUUUCCACAAAAAACGACAGAUCAAGAGGUUGUUUAGCUACAGGAACAAGAUUCUGGAUUAAAAGACUAAUUUGUGAUCGUUUAGCGAUGUAGUAAAAGACCUAUAUUGGGUU